This 158-nucleotide ribosomal RNA is filed under the name Nicotiana attenuata. Its description in RNAcentral is "rRNA 5_8S_rRNA". It matches the Rfam family "5.8S ribosomal RNA". Rfam says of the family: 5.8S ribosomal RNA (5.8S rRNA) is a component of the large subunit of the eukaryotic ribosome. It is transcribed by RNA polymerase I as part of the 45S precursor that also contains 18S and 28S rRNA. Lineage: Eukaryota; Viridiplantae; Streptophyta; Magnoliopsida; Solanales; Solanaceae. The record is from RNAcentral.
GACUCUCGGCAACGGAUAUCUCGGCUCUCACAUCGAUGAAGAAUGUAGCAAAAUGGGAUACUUGGUGUGAAUUGCAGAAUCCCAUGAACCAUUGAGUCUUUGAAUGCAAGUUGCGCCCGAAGCCAUUAGGCCUAGGGUCGCCCCUGCACACCGCGCCC